Molecule: long non-coding RNA, 535 nt
Organism: Bos taurus (domestic cattle)
Lineage: Eukaryota; Metazoa; Chordata; Mammalia; Artiodactyla; Bovidae
Source: Ensembl
GCCCACAUGGCAAAGAACCGAGGGAGGUUCUUGCCAACAAUUCAUGAGGAUUUGAGGUCUUAGUCCAACAGCCCAUGGGAAGUGGAUCCUGCCAGCAACCCUGUAAAGACAGAUGGCUUUUAAUCAGGUGACCAGGUUUGGACCAGGUCCCUUGGGGACCCAGUUCUUUAAAGAUGCUCUGGAUUUCUUCAGAGGAAGCUGUUUGGGGCCAACCGAACUUCUUCCCUGAGAAGCCUCAGUGGGACUUCCCCUCACACAGGCUUGUCUUCCUGAUGCCCUCUUUUGCUAUUCUGAAACCAAAGGUGGUAAUGGAUAGCUUAUGAAUGAGGGCUAAAAUUCUGCCAAUUAAUUGCAUUGAAUGAAGUUUGUAAACAUUGUGAAUGGAAAUUUUAGCACUGUCAACAAGUAUUUACUGACUACCCACUACGUGGUAGAUAUUGUGGGAAUAUUUUUGAGUACAGCGGUAGGCUGCAAAACCAGCCCCAGCUCUCUAUCCAUCCCUGUAUCUGUGUUCCUUGCAAUGUGACUUUGCUGC